RNAcentral lists this ribosomal RNA (393 nucleotides) under uncultured bacterium. RNAcentral describes it as "partial 16S ribosomal RNA". It matches the Rfam family "Bacterial small subunit ribosomal RNA", at positions 523 to 918 of the family's 1533-position model. The record is from RNAcentral.
AUACGGAGGGUGCAAGCGUUAUCCGGAUUUAUUGGGUUUAAAGGGUGCGUAGGCGGUUUGAUAAGUCAGCGGUGAAAUAUUUCAGCUUAACUGGAAGGGUGCCGUUGAUACUGUCGAGCUUGAAUUUAGUUGCUGUGGGUGGAAUGGGUGGUGUAGCGGUGAAAUGCAUAGAUAUCACACAGAAUAUCGAUUGCGAAGGCAGCUCACAAAGCUAAUAUUGACGCUGAUGCACGAAAGUGUGGGGAUCAAACAGGAUUAGAUACCCUGGUAGUCCACACUGUAAACGAUGAUAACUCGCUGUCGGCGAUACAUAGUCGGUGGCCAAGCGAAAGCGAUAAGUUAUCCACCUGGGGAGUACGACCGCAAGGUUGAAACUCAAAUGAAUUGACGGGG